RNAcentral lists this ribosomal RNA (465 nucleotides) under uncultured bacterium. Its description in RNAcentral is "partial 16S ribosomal RNA". It matches the Rfam family "Bacterial small subunit ribosomal RNA", at positions 28 to 507 of the family's 1533-position model. The record is from RNAcentral.
GACGAACGCUGGCGGCGUGCUUAACACAUGCAAGUCGAACGGAAAGGCCCCUUCGGGGGUACUCGAGUGGCGAACAGGUGAGUAACACGUGAGUAACCUGCCCUUGACUUCGGGAUAACUUCAGGAAACUGGGGCUAAUACCGGAUAGGAAUCCUUGCUGCAUGGUGGGGGUUGGAAAGCUUCGGCGGUUUUGGAUGGACUCGCGGCUUAUCAGCUUGUUGGUGGGGUAGUGGCUUACCAAGGCUUUGACGGGUAGCCGGCCUGAGAGGGCGACCGGCCACAUUGGGACUGAGAUACGGCCCAGACUCCUACGGGGGGCAGCAGGGGGGAAUAUUGCACAAUGGGCGGAAGCCUGAUGCAGCAACGCCGCGUGCGGGAUGACGGCCUUCGGGUUGGAAACCGCUUUCAGCAGGGGCGAAGCUUGUGGUGACGGUACCUGCAGAAGAAGCACCGGCUAACUACGUG